This 252-nucleotide ribosomal RNA is filed under the name uncultured bacterium. Its description in RNAcentral is "partial 16S ribosomal RNA". It matches the Rfam family "Bacterial small subunit ribosomal RNA", at positions 524 to 776 of the family's 1533-position model. The record is from RNAcentral.
UACGUAGGGGGCAAGCUUUGUCCGGAAUUAUUGGGCGUAAAGCGCGCGCAGGCGGUUAUGUAAGUCUGAUGUUAAAGCCCGGGGGUCAACCUCGGUUCGCAUUGGAAACUGUGUAACUUGAGUGCAGAAGAGGAAAGUGGUAUUCCACGUGUAGCGGUGAAAUGCGUAGAUAUGUGGAGGAACGCAAGUGGCGAAGGCGACUUUCUGGUCUGUAACUGACGCUGAGGCGCGAAAGCGUGGGGAGCAAACAGG